UGGCACAGUUGGUAGAGCAUGGCGCUUACAAUGCCAAAUGUCGUGGGAUCGAUUCCCGC
RNAcentral lists this transfer RNA (59 nucleotides) under Salmo salar (Atlantic salmon). It matches the Rfam family "tRNA", at positions 8 to 63 of the family's 71-position model. From Rfam's summary of the family: Transfer RNA (tRNA) molecules are approximately 80 nucleotides in length. Their secondary structure includes four short double-helical elements and three loops (D, anti-codon, and T loops). Further hydrogen bonds mediate the characteristic L-shaped molecular structure. tRNAs have two regions of fundamental functional importance: the anti-codon, which is responsible for specific mRNA codon recognition, and the 3' end, to which the tRNAs corresponding amino acid is attached (by aminoacyl-tRNA synthetases). tRNAs cope with the degeneracy of the genetic code in two manners: having more than one tRNA (with a specific anti-codon) for a particular amino acid; and 'wobble' base-pairing, i.e. permitting non-standard base-pairing at the 3rd anti-codon position. The record is from Rfam by way of RNAcentral. Lineage: Eukaryota; Metazoa; Chordata; Actinopteri; Salmoniformes; Salmonidae.